This 353-nucleotide long non-coding RNA is filed under the name Homo sapiens (human). RNAcentral's name for it is "HSALNT0184653". The record is from RNAcentral. Lineage: Eukaryota; Metazoa; Chordata; Mammalia; Primates; Hominidae.
AUCAAGAAUCAAAUGGCUUGGAUCUGGUCUCUUCUCUUUGAGGAAGCAAGCAGGCAUGGAGGUGAGUCAGGCCAUUGGAAGAUUUCCUGUGGCUGAUGAAGAAUCCAACUCCAGGUUGCUCUUCUUUGAAGAGGAUUCCAGAAAUGCUUAGGUAGAAAAUGAAAAGUCAGAAUUCAAACCCAUGGACCCAGGGCAUGAAGCACAGCUCCGACCACCCCGAGAAUGUGUUGGAUUAACCCUAUUCAACAGAGGAGGAAAACAAACCCAAGAAAGGGCUGCUUGUUUGGACUGUAGGAGCUUAGCUGAGCACCAAGCACCAGCAGGAAUCAGAGAAUGGUGGCUUCCAUCCUCUG